ACKGCUCAGUAACACGUGGACAACCUACCCUAUGGAGGGGGAUAACCCCGGGAAACUGGGGAUAAUACCCCAUAGACUAUAGAUGCUGGAAUGCUUUGUAGUUGAAAGGUCCGCCGCCAUAGGAUGGGUCUGCGGCCGAUUAGGUUGUUGUUGGGGUAACGGCCCAACAAGCCUGUAAUCGGUACGGGUUGUGGGAGCAAGAGCCCGGAGAUGGAUUCUGAGACACGAAUCCAGGCCCUACGGGGCGCAGCAGGCGCGAAAACUUUACAAUGCGGGAAACCGUGAUAAGGGAACUCCGAGUGCCCGUAAAAUCGGGCUGUCCAUCUGUUUAAAUAACAGGUGAAGAAAGGGCCGGGCAAGACCGGUGCCAGCCGCCGCGGUAACACCGGCGGCUCGAGUGGUAACCGUUAUUAUUGGGUCUAAAGGGUCUGUAGCCGGCUGGAUAAGUCUCUUGGGAAAUCCGGCAGCUCAACUGUCGGGCUAUCAGGAGAUACUGUCCGGCUCGAGACCGGGAGAGGUGAGAGGUACUUCAGGGGUAGGGGUGAAAUCUUGUAAUCCUUGAAGGACCACCAGUGGCGAAGGCGUCUCACCAGAACGGAUCUGACGGCAAGGGACGAAAGCUAGGGGCACGAACCGGAUUAGAUACCCGGGUAGUCCUAGCCGUAAACGAUACUCGCUAGGUGCCGGCCACGGUGCGACCGUGGUCGGUGCCGUAGGGAAGCCGUGAAGCGAGCCACCUGGGAAGUACGGCCGCAAGGCUGAAACUUAAAGGAAUUGGCGGGGGAGCAC
RNAcentral lists this ribosomal RNA (789 nucleotides) under uncultured Methanosarcinales archaeon. RNAcentral describes it as "bacterial SSU rRNA". It matches the Rfam family "Archaeal small subunit ribosomal RNA", at positions 85 to 879 of the family's 1478-position model. Lineage: Archaea; Methanobacteriati; Methanobacteriota; Methanomicrobia; Methanosarcinales. The record is from RNAcentral.